CUUUGAGGGAAUUUAAAAACAAAAAAUUAAAAUUAGGUAUUUUCAAUGAAUUUUCAAAGUCCAUAUUCAAAAACUUUUUUGUUCAUGUCCAAAUUUGAUAAACAGUGGAGGACAAGAACUAAAUACUAUGUCUUCUUUUAGGGCCCCUCCCCAUUCCCCACUGCCCACCUGUCCUGAGAAAGGGAGGUUGGGGAGAUAUUUUAUGACCAUGUGAACUUUAUAGGAAAGUAAGUCCAUAUGUUUCUGAUGAACUUACAUUUAACUCAUCAAAAUGUGUGGUUUUGUAAAAGCUAUUUGAUGUCCAAACAGAUUCCUUUGGGACAAUCUUUAAACUUCUUAGUUCUCAUUCUCUAUGGCUCCCUCUCUCUCCCUCCCUGAUAAAAACUGAGGAAAAUGCUGUAUUCGGCCUUGAAUCAAAUGUCUGGAUUCUGGAGAGUUCUUAAGAGUUAUUUUAAUAGUUGAGAAAUCAUAGAACUACCUUGCCCAGCAGGUUAAGGAUGAGUGUUGUCCGCUGCUGGGGCACAGGUUCCAUUCCUGGGCCCAGAACUUCCACAUGCCAAGGCCUUGCCAAAAUUUUUUUUAAAGUUAUAUUUUAUGAUUUCACCCCUAUCGUGAGUGUGUGUGUGUGUGUGUGUGUGUGUGUGUGUGUGUGUGUGUGAGAGAGAGAGAGAGAGAGAGAGAGCGAGAGAGAGCGAGAGAGAGAGAUUCUGCAGGGAUGACAAUUCCCUCUACUUCAAGCCCAUAUAAUGGCAAAUGCCUAAAACGAAUUACACCUCUAGUUGUACGUGUAGCCCUUUGGGUUCACCACCAGUGAUUUCAAGGGUGCCUUACACUGCGUUCUCUUCCAAAAGAACAAAACACAGACGCUUUGGCAGGCAUUUGGCACAGCAGUUAACCAGGGGAUAGCAAGCGCGCCCUUUGCUUUGCCCUUUAUCAAAAUAUAUUCAUUCCAGUUUGCAAAUUGCCGUUUUUGAGGCCUACACCUCUACUCACACUAAUUUCUGCGGGUCAGACCUUGACCCUGAUUGGAACAAAACCCGGAGUGGGAUAUUCACAGCAGAGCGCCUCCGCCCCGCGUGUGUCAGAAGCCAUAUUGCGGCAAAUGCCUCACCCACCUUGGAGCGCAGCUUGUGGAACUGAUGAGGUGAGAGCGCGGCACAGCGGCGCGGGCCCCGUAAUCACAGGACUGAGGAAACACAUACAUCAUCUGCCACACAGGACUGUCUGCAUCCCGGUGGAGGUGUUCUCGAAUGCAUUUCUUCAGAUGCUGGUUUCUCUACGAUAAGCAGUAGACAGAUCUUCCAAAGGAGCAGCGCCUCAAGGAAUCUUUAAACCAGAGCAGCACGCUUGCCGGCUCCGGGUGUGUGAACUGUGAAAUAAAAGGCGGAGGGCAAAAGUGCCA
Molecule: long non-coding RNA, 1402 nt
Filed under: Sus scrofa (pig)
Lineage: Eukaryota; Metazoa; Chordata; Mammalia; Artiodactyla; Suidae
Description: lncRNA (ENSSSCG00030043221.1)
Source: RNAcentral